Molecule: ribosomal RNA, 879 nt
Filed under: uncultured marine bacterium
Lineage: Bacteria
Description: bacterial SSU rRNA
Rfam family: Bacterial small subunit ribosomal RNA
Source: RNAcentral
GAUGAACGCUAGCGGCAGGCUUAACACAUGCAAGUCGAGGGGUAACAGGGAUUGCUUGCAAUCCGCUGACGACCGGCGCACGGGUGCGUAACGCGUAUGCAACCUACCUUUUUCAGGGGAAUAGUCAAUAGAAAUGUUGAAUAAUACCCCAUAAUAUCAUUAAUCCGCAUGGAUUGAUGAAGAAAGCUCCGGCGGAAAAAGAUGGGCAUGCGUCCUAUUAGUUAGUUGGUAAGGUAACGGCUUACCAAGACAUCGAUAGGUAGGGGUCCUGAGAGGGAGAUCCCCCACACUGGUACUGAGACACGGACCAGACUCCUACGGGAGGCAGCAGUGAGGAAUAUUGGACAAUGGAGGCAACUCUGAUCCAGCCAUGCCGCGUGCAGGAAGACGGCCCUAUGGGUUGUAAACUGCUUUUAUACAGGAAGAACUGUAUCUACGUGUAGAUACUUGACGGUACUGUACGAAUAAGGAUCGGCUAACUCCGUGCCAGCAGCCGCGGUAAUACGGAGGAUCCAAGCGUUAUCCGGAAUCAUUGGGUUUAAAGGGUCCGUAGGCGGUCUAAUAAGUCAGAGGUGAAAUCCUGCAGCUCAACUGUAGCAUUGCCUUUGAUACUGUUAGACUUGAGUUAUUGUGAGGUAGUUAGAAUGUGUAGUGUAGCGGUGAAAUGCAUAGAUAUUACACAGAAUACCGAUUGCGAAGGCAGAUUACUAACAAUAUACUGACGCUGAGGGACGAAAGCGUGGGUAGCGAACAGGAUUAGAUACCCUGGUAGUCCACGCCGUAAACGAUGGAUACUAGCUGUUCGAUCAACAUUGGUUGGUUGAGUGGCUAAGCGAAAGUGAUAAGUAUCCCACCUGGGGAGUACGCUCGCAAGAGUGA